RNAcentral lists this ribosomal RNA (253 nucleotides) under uncultured bacterium. RNAcentral describes it as "partial 16S ribosomal RNA". It matches the Rfam family "Bacterial small subunit ribosomal RNA", at positions 524 to 776 of the family's 1533-position model. The record is from RNAcentral.
UACGUAGGGGGCUAGCGUUGUCCGGAUUUAUUGGGCGUAAAGAGCGUGUAGGCGGCCAUGUAGGUCCGGUGUGAAAACUCGAGGCUUAACCUCGAGAUGUCAUCGGAAACUAUUUGGCUAGAGUCCGGAAGAGGAGAGUGGAAUUCCUGGUGUAGCGGUGAAAUGCGCAGAUAUCAGGAAGAACACCAAUGGCGAAAACAGCUCUCUGGGACGGUACUGACGCUGAGACGCGAAAGCGUGGGGAGCGAACAGG